UACGGAGGGUGCAAGCGUUGCUCGGAAUUAUUGGGCGUAAAGGGCAGGUAGGUGGUCUCAUUUGUCUGGUGUGAAAUCCUUGGGCUUAACCCAGAAGUGCGCCAGAAACGGUGAGACUGGAGUCCUAGAGAGGGUCGUGGAAUUCCCGGUGUAGCGGUGAAGUGCGUAGAGAUCGGGAGGAACACCAGAGGCGAAGGCGGCGACCUGGAUAGGUACUGACACUCAACUGCGAAAGCGUGGGGAGCAAACAGGAUUAGAUACCCCGGUAGU
Molecule: ribosomal RNA, 270 nt
Filed under: uncultured bacterium
Lineage: Bacteria
Description: partial 16S ribosomal RNA
Rfam family: Bacterial small subunit ribosomal RNA
Source: RNAcentral